CUGCCCUCUUAGUGCAGUAGGCAGCACGUCAGUCUCAUACUCUGAAGGUCCUGAGAUCGAAUCUCAGAGGGCAGA
RNAcentral lists this transfer RNA (75 nucleotides) under Ovis aries (sheep). RNAcentral describes it as "tRNA-Met (CAT) (tRNA-Met-CAT-12-1)". It matches the Rfam family "tRNA". Rfam says of the family: Transfer RNA (tRNA) molecules are approximately 80 nucleotides in length. Their secondary structure includes four short double-helical elements and three loops (D, anti-codon, and T loops). Lineage: Eukaryota; Metazoa; Chordata; Mammalia; Artiodactyla; Bovidae. The record is from RNAcentral.